GUGAGUGUAGCUCAGUUGGUUAGAGCAUCAGACUGUGGAUCUGAGGGUCGGGGGUUCGAAUCCCCUCACUCACCCCA
This 77-nucleotide transfer RNA is filed under the name Candidatus Latescibacteria bacterium ADurb.Bin168. RNAcentral's name for it is "tRNA-His". It matches the Rfam family "tRNA". Rfam says of the family: Transfer RNA (tRNA) molecules are approximately 80 nucleotides in length. Lineage: Bacteria; Pseudomonadati; Candidatus Latescibacterota. The record is from RNAcentral. RNAcentral also lists the same sequence under 1 other name.